Molecule: small nuclear RNA, 104 nt
Organism: Octopus sinensis (East Asian common octopus)
Lineage: Eukaryota; Metazoa; Mollusca; Cephalopoda; Octopoda; Octopodidae
Source: RefSeq, a predicted model, not a curated record
UUAGCUAUGGCGAUACAUAUACUAAAAUUGGAACGAUACAGAGAAGAUUAGCAUAGCCCCUGUGCAAGGAUGACACGCAAAUACGCGAAGCGUUCCACAUUAAU